UAAGUAAAGAAGUAAAAUACAUUUAAUUUCGACUUAAAUUUAGGGUUAAAACCCCAUACUUAA
Molecule: transfer RNA, 63 nt
Filed under: Pochazia shantungensis
Lineage: Eukaryota; Metazoa; Arthropoda; Insecta; Hemiptera; Ricaniidae
Description: tRNA-Arg
Source: RNAcentral